CCUACGGGAGGCUGCAGUCGAGAAUCAUUCACAAUGGGGGAAACCCUGAUGGUGCGACGCCGCGUGGGGGAAUGAAGGUCUUCGGAUUGUAAACCCCUGUCAUGUGGGAGCAAAUUAAAAAGAUAGUACCACAAGAGGAAGAGACGGCUAACUCUGUGCCAGCAGCCGCGGUAAUACAGAGGUCUCAAGCGUUGUUCGGAAUCACUGGGCGUAAAGCGUGCGUAGGCUGUUUCGUAAGUCGUGUGUGAAAGGCGCGGGCUCAACCCGCGGAAGGCACAUGAUACUGCGAGAUGAGAGUAAGGGAGGGGGAACCGGAAUUCUCGGUGUAGCAGUGAAAUGCGUAGAUAUCGAGAGGAACACUCGUGGCGAAGGCGGGUUCCUGGACAUUAACUGACGCUGAGGCACGAAGGCCAGGGGAGCGAAAGGGAUUAGAUACCCUGGUAGUC
This 446-nucleotide ribosomal RNA is filed under the name uncultured bacterium. RNAcentral describes it as "partial 16S ribosomal RNA". It matches the Rfam family "Bacterial small subunit ribosomal RNA", at positions 338 to 795 of the family's 1533-position model. The record is from RNAcentral.